CCCAGGCUACAAGUAGCAGUCCAAGUGUGGGUUGGCAGUGCUGCAGCUAUGGACAACUCACACGAGGUCUCAGACUUGGAACAUGGGCAUGGCCUCCUCAAGCCCUCCUCCAAUAAGGAGGUUUUGAAUGGCAGGACUCUGCAAAAUGUAUCGUCUUCCAUUUUGCGUACGAAAUCAGACCCAGUUCUUGUUUCAAGCGUUCGGUUUCAAAUGCUCAGGCAUUUCUUGGCCAACCUCCAAGAAGUCAUUCUUGGAACUAAGCUGGCU
This 267-nucleotide unclassified non-coding RNA is filed under the name Hevea brasiliensis (rubber tree). The record is from RNAcentral. Lineage: Eukaryota; Viridiplantae; Streptophyta; Magnoliopsida; Malpighiales; Euphorbiaceae.